RNAcentral lists this transfer RNA (67 nucleotides) under Thaumalea sp. ZK-2019. RNAcentral describes it as "tRNA-Ala". It matches the Rfam family "tRNA". From Rfam's summary of the family: Transfer RNA (tRNA) molecules are approximately 80 nucleotides in length. Their secondary structure includes four short double-helical elements and three loops (D, anti-codon, and T loops). The record is from RNAcentral. Lineage: Eukaryota; Metazoa; Arthropoda; Insecta; Diptera; Thaumaleidae.
AGGACUGUAGUUAAGUAUAACAUUUGAUUUGCAUUCAAAAAGUAUUAGAAUUCUCUAAUCUGUCUUG